Molecule: ribosomal RNA, 445 nt
Filed under: uncultured bacterium
Lineage: Bacteria
Description: bacterial SSU rRNA
Rfam family: Bacterial small subunit ribosomal RNA
Source: RNAcentral
AACGCGAAGAACCUUACCCAGGCUUGACAUCCGCUGUAAGUCCGUGAAAGCGGUACCCCUCCCUCGUAAGAGGGAGCAGUGAGACAGGUGUUGCAUGGCUGUCGUCAGCUCGUGUCGUGAGAUGUUGGGUUAAGUCCCGCAACGAGCGCAACCCUCACCCCAUGUUGCCAGCGUCAAGUCGGGCACUCUUGGGGAACUGCCCGGGUAACCGGGAGGAAGGUGGGGAUGACGUCAAGUCGGCAUGGCCCUUACGCCUGGGGCUUCACCCAUGCUACAAUGGGCGCGACAGAGGGAAGCAAGACCGCGAGGUGGAGCCAAUCCCACAAACGCGCUCUCAGUUCGGAUUGCAGGCUGCAACUCGCCUGCAUGAAGUCGGAAUCGCUAGUAACCGCCGGUCAGCUAAACGGCGGUGAAUACGUUCCCGGGCCUUGUACACACCGCGAGC